AUCUCUCCCCUCUGCCAGGGGCCAGCACGCCCUCGGGACGGCUUUCUCCGUGACCGUGAAGGAGACGUGGAGCACGGCAGCGGCCAACCUACACAGAUCAUCAUUGCUAUUUUAGGGGAUUGAGAAAUGGAACUUGGGAAAGAAAAUCAUUCAGAAUCAGAUGGAAAGAACAGGAUGAUUUUUUUUUCUUUUUUCUUUUUUUUGAGCUUCCGCUGUGUGCCAGACCUCGUUCUGAGCUCUAGGCUCUGGUGGGAGACAAGACCAGGUUCCUGUCCUCAGGGAACUGACAUUCUACUGGAGAGAGGCAGACUGCAAACAUUUAUAUCUGAAUAAGGCUGGGGAAGAAGAGAACACCCUGGCUGCUCUGCAGAGGAUGUGUCGGAAAGGAGCGAAAGUGGAGGAGAGACCAGGGGAAGCCGCUGCAGGAUCCCAGGGAAGAGGC
Long non-coding RNA from Molossus molossus (Pallas's mastiff bat), 442 nucleotides. RefSeq lists it as uncharacterized. The transcript has 4 exons. NCBI's taxonomy places the organism in Eukaryota, Metazoa, Chordata, Mammalia, Chiroptera, Molossidae. The record is from RefSeq and is a predicted model, not a curated record.